Molecule: ribosomal RNA, 459 nt
Filed under: uncultured bacterium
Lineage: Bacteria
Description: partial 16S ribosomal RNA
Rfam family: Bacterial small subunit ribosomal RNA
Source: RNAcentral
CCUACGGUAGGCAGCAGUGAGGAAUAUUGGUCAAUGGCCGAGAGGCUGAACCAGCCAAGUCGCGUGAGGGAAGACGGCCCUACGGGUUGUAAACCUCUUUUGUCGGGGAGCAAAGCGAACCACGUGUGGUUCAUUGAGAGUACCCGAAGAAAAAGCAUCGGCUAACUCCGUGCCAGCAGCCGCGGUAAUACGGGGGAUUCGAGCGUUAUCCGGAUGUUGUGGGUUUAAAGGGUGCGCAGGCGGAGGUGCAAGUCAGCGGUCAAAUUGCGGGGCGCAACCCCGUACUGCCGUUGAAACUGCAUCCCUUGAGUGCGCGAGAAGUAUGCGGAAUGCGUGGUGUAGCGGUGAAAUGCAUAGAUAUCACGCAGAACUCCGAUUGCGAAAGCAGCAUACCGGCGCGCAACUGACGCUCAUGCACGAAAGCGUGGGUAUCGAACAGGAUUAGAUACCCUAGUAGUC